RNAcentral lists this ribosomal RNA (253 nucleotides) under uncultured bacterium. RNAcentral describes it as "partial 16S ribosomal RNA". It matches the Rfam family "Bacterial small subunit ribosomal RNA", at positions 524 to 776 of the family's 1533-position model. The record is from RNAcentral.
UACGUAGGGUGCGAGCGUUGUCCGGAAUUAUUGGGCGUAAAGAGCUUGUAGGCGGUUUGUCGCGUCUGCCGUGAAAUUUCGGGGCUCAACCCCGAACUUGCGGUGGGUACGGGCAGACUAGAGUGAUGUAGGGGAGACUGGAAUUCCUGGUGUAGCGGUGAAAUGCGCAGAUAUCAGGAGGAACACCGAUGGCGAAGGCAGGUCUCUGGGCAUUAACUGACGCUGAGGAGCGAAAGCAUGGGGAGCGAACAGG